UUCCCUUCCAGAUGACAUCAUAAUUAGUCCUUUCUCAGCCUAAUUAAAACAUCUGCUCUGGACAAAAUCCUUUGUUGACUUCCUUCCACCAGCCCUGGGAAGAAUCUAUCAUCCCCUUUCCUCUAACACCCCUAACCCCUUUCCUCUAACACCAAAUGUGGUGUUUCAUCACCACAUUUAUAGAAAAAUAUAUUACAAUUAUUGGUUUCUAUGUCUGUUUCCAGGUCUCCUCAAGUUGCUCCUCAAGGGUACAUCUGGACACAAAAAAGGACACCAGGGAUGUGUGCACAUGGAGGAAAGAGCAUGUGAGGACACAUCAAGACAGCCUCUAUCUACAAGCCAAAGAGAGAGGCCUCAGAAGAAACGAACCUGCUAACACCUUGAUCUUGGAGUUCCAGCCAGUACUGAAGCUCACAAUCAAGUCUGUGGCCCUCCUUUAGCAAUUAGACAUUUUGGAUCCAAGGACCAAUAGGUUGACUCAUUCACCAGUGGAGAGUAUCAAAGAAAGAAAAAUUUAAAAACUAAACAACAGAUUUGACAAGCUGCCUGCCAUCUGAAAGUGAGAAAGAAUGUGAUAUCAAUUGAGCAUCUUCUGUGCAAGCUAUAUGCUGUACAUAUGCUUUUCUUCAAAACAUCCCUUCAAGAAAAUGGAAAGAGGGGGUGGAAGGAAUUCACCGUACUCUCCAGUCCCCCAAUUGCUGGCUGGUUAAUGAAGCAUUCUUCUCACCAGGGUGCCUCAGUUAUUUACCAAGAGAAUGACAACCCAUUCCCCACCCCCAGCUUGAACAGCCACUGCGAUCAGCUCCCUCUCUUCAUGACAAUGAGGCAAUAUGUGUGGGACUGUUUUUCGCAUAACUACAAAGCUUCAAAAAAAAGUGAGAAUAAAUAUUUACUUCCAGUGUAUUCCAUGCAACACAGAGGGAAAAUUUUCAAUGUUAAACUGACUUAUAUCCAACGAUAUCUUGCA
Long non-coding RNA from Symphalangus syndactylus (siamang), 967 nucleotides. RefSeq lists it as uncharacterized. NCBI's taxonomy places the organism in Eukaryota, Metazoa, Chordata, Mammalia, Primates, Hylobatidae. The record is from RefSeq and is a predicted model, not a curated record.